UGGGAUCUUCAGAUUUCCCUUGGUUGCUUGA
This 31-nucleotide non-coding RNA is filed under the name Homo sapiens (human). The record is from RNAcentral. Lineage: Eukaryota; Metazoa; Chordata; Mammalia; Primates; Hominidae.